RNAcentral lists this ribosomal RNA (490 nucleotides) under uncultured bacterium. Its description in RNAcentral is "partial 16S ribosomal RNA". It matches the Rfam family "Bacterial small subunit ribosomal RNA", at positions 29 to 507 of the family's 1533-position model. The record is from RNAcentral.
AGUGAACGCUGGCGGUAGGCCUAACACAUGCAAGUCGAACGGCAGCACAGGAGAGCUUGCUCUCUGGGUGGCGAGUGGCGGACGGGUGAGGAAUAUAUCGGAAUCUGCCCAGUCGUGGGGGAUAACGUAGGGAAACUUACGCUAAUACCGCAUACGACCUUCGGGUGAAAGAGGGGGAUCGCAAGACCUCUCGCGAUUGGAUGAGCCGAUGUCGGAUUAGCUAGUUGGCGGGGUAAUGGCCCACCAAGGCGACGAUCCGUAGCUGGUCUGAGAGGAUGAUCAGCCACACUGGAACUGAGACACGGUCCAGACUCCUACGGGAGGCAGCAGUGGGGAAUAUUGGACAAUGGGCGCAAGCCUGAUCCAGCCAUACCGCGUGGGUGAAGAAGGCCUUCGGGUUGUAAAGCCCUUUUGUUGGGAAAGAAAUCUUUCAGGCUAAUACCCUGGGAGGAUGACGGUACCCAAAGAAUAAGCACCGGCUAACUUCGUG